AACAGCCUCCUUUAUUGCUGAUGGGUUUCUAAUAAUGGUGUCCAUGUGGCUUUGGAACAACAGUAGCAUGUUAAUUUAUUCCCCAGUGUUACCUAGAGGCCCUGACAUGGGUCCAGGACUGGUGACACCCUAAUUUAAGUCCUGGGUAGGACCAGGCAGAUCAGGUGGCUCAGAGCUAGCACAAUAGACUGUGAGGGGAAGCCGCACUCCCUGAUCAGGGCAGAUCAGGAGGAUUCCAAGUGUAAUUGGCCUCCAGGGAGUAUGUAAGUCACUCUUGUACACCCCCUCAGACCUCCUUAAUGCCUUGCCAGCUGGAAGGAAAAGAGCCUCUUGCAUUGCCCACAAAGGAAGCAGAGAUUGAGGGGAGAAGAACUGGAGAAAUUAAAAAAGUGGAAAGAGACAGCAACACAAAUAAAGAGGUUGAAUACCAGUAG
Molecule: long non-coding RNA, 434 nt
Filed under: Pan troglodytes (chimpanzee)
Lineage: Eukaryota; Metazoa; Chordata; Mammalia; Primates; Hominidae
Description: lncRNA (ENSPTRG00000053330.1)
Source: RNAcentral